This 251-nucleotide ribosomal RNA is filed under the name uncultured Burkholderiales bacterium. Its description in RNAcentral is "partial 16S ribosomal RNA". It matches the Rfam family "Bacterial small subunit ribosomal RNA", at positions 526 to 777 of the family's 1533-position model. The record is from RNAcentral. Lineage: Bacteria; Pseudomonadati; Pseudomonadota; Betaproteobacteria; Burkholderiales.
CGUAGGGUGCAAGCGUAAAUCGGAAUACUGGGCGUAAAGCGUGGGCAGGCGGUUAUAUAAGACAGUGUGAAAUCCCCGGGCUCCAACCUCGGAACUGCAUCUGUGACUGUAUAGCUAGAGUACGGUAGAGGGGGAUGGAAUUCCGCGUGUAGCAGUGAAAUGCGUAGAUAUGCGGAGGAACACCGAUGGCGAAGGCAAUCCCCUGGACCUGUACUGACGCUCAUGCACGAAAGCGUGGGGAGCAAACAGGA